This is a small nucleolar RNA of Hemibagrus wyckioides, 179 nucleotides long. RefSeq annotates it as small nucleolar RNA SNORA81. The transcript has a single exon. Lineage: Eukaryota; Metazoa; Chordata; Actinopteri; Siluriformes; Bagridae. The record is from RefSeq and is a predicted model, not a curated record.
CCUUCCAUCCAAAAGAACUGUGCUUAAAUUACAGACUUCAGGUUUCCUGGUUUAUGUAAUAAUGCUAGCAGAGUGAAAACAUGGAAGAAGACUAACGUGCCCUGCGCCGAAAAUGAAACUCGGUCGGACCUCUUUCUUAAUGUCCGGUGACCUUUGUUUCAAGGUUCAGUGCGACAGUU